Molecule: long non-coding RNA, 533 nt
Organism: Oncorhynchus keta (chum salmon)
Lineage: Eukaryota; Metazoa; Chordata; Actinopteri; Salmoniformes; Salmonidae
Exons: 3
Source: RefSeq, a predicted model, not a curated record
GCCUGGGCUGUCUUUCAGCCCUACAUAAACUGUCUGUCGGGGCUGCCUUUCAGCCCUACAUAAACUGUCUGUCGGGGCUGCCUUUCAGCCCUACACAAACUGUCUGCCUGGGCUGCCUUUCAGUCCUACAGUAGCUGUCUGUCUGGGCUGCCUUUCAGUCCUACAGUAGCUGUCUGUCUGGGGAUGCCUUUCAGUCCUACAGUAGCUGUCUGUCGGGGAUGCCUUUCAGUCCUACAGUAGCUGUCUGUCUGGGCUGCCUUUCAGUCCUACAGUAGCUGUCUGUCUGGGCUGCCUUUCAGUCCUACAGUAGCUGUCUGCCUGGGAGGCCUUUCAGUCCUACAGUAGCUGUCUGUCGGGGCUGCCUUUCAGCCCUACACAAACUGUCUGCCUGGGCUGCCUUUCAGUCCUACAGUAGCUGUCUGUCUGGGCUGCCUUUCAGUCCUACAGUAGCUGUCUGUCGGGGAUGCCUUUCAGUCCUACAGUAGCUGUCUGUCGGGGAUGCCUUUCAGUCCUACAGUAGCUGUCUGUCUGGG